GGAUGUGAGGGCGAUCUGGCUGCGACAUCUGUCACCCCACUGAUCGCCAGUGUUGAUUCGGCUGAUCUGGCUGGCUAGGCGGGUGUCCCUUCCUCCCUCACCGCUCCAUGUGCGUCCCUCCCGAAGCUGCGCGCUUGGUCGAAGAGGACGACCAUCCCUGAUAGAGGAGGACCGUUCUUCGGUCAAGGGUAUACGAGUAGCUGCGCUCCCCUGUUAGAACCUCCAAACAAGCUCUCAAGAAUGAGAUGAAUUUUCUAGAUAGUUAUAAGAUUUGCAGGGGCAAUUUCUU
Molecule: small nuclear RNA, 289 nt
Filed under: Castor canadensis (American beaver)
Lineage: Eukaryota; Metazoa; Chordata; Mammalia; Rodentia; Castoridae
Description: 7SK RNA (ENSCCNG00000018011.1)
Rfam family: 7SK RNA
About the family: 7SK was discovered as an abundant small nuclear RNA in the mid-70s but a possible function has only recently been suggested. Two independent studies have found that 7SK RNA binds the CDK9/cyclin T complex (known as elongation factor P-TEFb). P-TEFb activates transcription by phosphorylating the C-terminal domain of RNA polymerase II.
Source: Rfam by way of RNAcentral